Molecule: ribosomal RNA, 253 nt
Filed under: uncultured bacterium
Lineage: Bacteria
Description: partial 16S ribosomal RNA
Rfam family: Bacterial small subunit ribosomal RNA
Source: RNAcentral
UACGUAGGUGGCAAGCGUUGUCCGGAAUUACUGGGCGUAAAGAGUUCGUAGGUGGUUUGUCGCGUUGUUCGUGAAAACUCACAGCUUAACUGUGGGCGUGCGGGCGAUACGGGCAGACUUGAGUACUGCAGGGGAGACUGGAAUUCCUGGUGUAGCAGUGAAAUGCGUAGAUAUCAGGAGGAACACCGAUGGCGAAGGCAGGUCUCUGGGCUGACACUGACGCUCAUGCACGAAAGCGUGGGGAGCAAACAGG